GACGAACGCUGGCGGCGUGCCUAAUACAUGCAAGUUGAGCGCUGAAGGUUGGUACUUGUACCAACUGGAUGAGCAGCGAACGGGUGAGUAACGCGUGGGGAAUCUGCCUUUGAGCGGGGGACAACAUUUGGAAACGAAUGCUAAUACCGCAUAAAAACUUUAAACACAAGUUUUAAGUUUGAAAGAUGCAAUUGCAUCACUCAAAGAUGAUCCCGCGUUGUAUUAGCUAGUUGGUGAGGUAAAGGCUCACCAAGGCGAUGAUACAUAGCCGACCUGAGAGGGUGAUCGGCCACAAUGGGACUGGGACACGGCCCAAACUCCUACGGGAGGCAGCAGUAGGGAAUCUUCGGCCAUUGACGAAAGUCUGGACGAGCAACGCCGCGGGAGUGAAGAAGGGUUUCGGAUCGGAAAACUCUGUUGGUAGAGAAGAACGUUGGUGAGAGUGGAAAGCUCAUCAAGUGACGGUAACUACCCAGAAAGGGACGGCUAACUACGUG
RNAcentral lists this ribosomal RNA (497 nucleotides) under uncultured bacterium. RNAcentral's name for it is "partial 16S ribosomal RNA". It matches the Rfam family "Bacterial small subunit ribosomal RNA", at positions 28 to 507 of the family's 1533-position model. The record is from RNAcentral.